UCCUUUUGAUUCCUUGAUAGCAAAAUACGUAGAUUUUUUUUUGCUCCUGCUUCCUUUUUCUUUCCCUCGGAUUUUUGGUCUGACCUAUUUCUGAUGCUCUUCUUGGCCCAUUGUAGGCUGCUUUUGGGACCGACCUCUGCUUGGAUCAACACUUUCAGGGUGAUAACUGGCAGACCAUUAGAGAAUAAAAAGAGAAAUGGAUGCCAAGUCUAUCCACCGAAUGGUGCAUUGGGAAAAAGCAGUCCCACGGACUUCGCAGCUGUGGGGAUGAUAGGGAAAAGGGCUUCCUCUCAUAAAUAGUCAUGCAUCUUCUGGCCCGCUGAGAGCCAUGACCCCUUCUGUUAUUUCUCCUCCACCCUUUUUCAAACCAGACUGCUCCAGGAGGUCCCCCAUCAAGAUGCAGAGCAGUGGUUUGGCUCCAAAGGAAUGCAGAGUAACCAGGGAUUGGCCUGGGGGAAUUGGGGAGACAGGGACAAUGUUUCCCUUGGCCUUCAUGUAUUAUAGUUUCAUGUAUGUGUAACUCUCUCCCUACCGACUCUACGCCUGUCUUUUUGUUCUUGUGCCUUAUUUUCUCACCUCCAUGCCUUUGCUUAUUCCUUGUGCCUGCCAUACCCUUCUUUCAACUCUGCUAGCUAAAGUCCCACUUAUCCCUCAAAUCAAAUACCACUUUUUCCUCAAAACUUUCCAGGAUCCUUAGGUUGAAAACAAUCAUUUUUCCUGAACCUCACACAGUGACAACUCUUGGAGACUUAAUGUUUCAUGAAAUCACAGUCAUAGAAUUAUUGUUGAUCAUAGGAUCAUAGAGCUAGAUUUAUAACCUUAAUGAUUCUUUUGCCUAAUUUCCUCAUUUUACAAAUUAAGAAAUUGAGGAAUUACAGUGACUGCCCUAAAGUGACAAAAGUAGUAAAAGUCAGAGAUGUUGAAUUUUGAUUCUCUGGCUUCAGAGUCAGUGGGAUUUCCAUUUUACUUUUUAAUUUUGUAUUAAAAUCAUCUGUGUAUACUCCUUGAAGGCAAAGACUGUGUUUUAUUCAUCUUCAGAUAUUCUCAGUUUUAAGAUAAACUGAAUGACUAUCUUUUCUUUAUUCCUGAUAUUGCACAUUCUGCCUCCAGUAACUCAGUUAAUCGAUUAACAACACCUGUAUUCAGGUAACUGUAUUAUGCACUGGGGUUACAAACAAAGGCAAAAGACAGCCCGUAAUCUCAGGGAAAUCACAGUCUAAUGGGGGAGACAACCUGCAAAGCAACUACAUAAAAAAUAAAUUGGAUAAAUGAUAAAUUCUGAUAAUAUCAGAAUAAAUAGGCACUAGAAUUGCUGGGGAUCAAGAAAGGCUUGGAUUUGGGAUUUCAGCUGGAAUGUGAAGGAAUCCAGAAAAGUCUGGAGGCAAAAGGAAGGAAGGAAAGUAUUAUAGGCACAGGAUCAGCAAGUGAAAGUGCUGCUGCAGUAGUGUGUGGCACAGUGGUAGUAGAAAGGAUUUAUGGGAGAUGCUAUGAAAGCAGCAUCAAUAAGAUUUAAGAACAAAGUAGAUGUGAGGGAUGAGGGAGAGUGAGCAAAGGGACCCUGAGGAUGGUAGUACUCUUAACAGUGAAAGGGAAGUUAGAAAGAAGGGGAAAUAAAGUAGGGGAAGGAUAAUGAGUUCUGUUUCAGAUGUGUUGGAUUUAAGAUGCUUCCUUACAUUUAUACAAAUUGUUUCCCAUGUGUCAAAUCCAAUCCUUGCUCCUUAAAAUCCUUUCAUAUUUCUUCCAAGUUCUGCUCUUUCUUGGAGCCUUUUCCAUAGUGAGCCUUUUCUAAUCCCGUUUUGUUAUGAUUUUUCUCUUGAAAUUAUUUUGUAUUACUUCAUAUAUAUUCACUUUGUAAGUAGUAUGACUUUCCCUUCUUCCCAGAACAUAGUUUCCUUGAAGGCAAAAUCCUGAUUAUUUCUAUCUUUUUUUCCCUUAGUGUUUGGCACAGUGCUAAAUAAAUGCUAAGUGCUUAAUAAAUGUUUGUGGAAUUAAAUUGUA
Long non-coding RNA from Antechinus flavipes (yellow-footed antechinus), 1998 nucleotides. RefSeq lists it as uncharacterized. The record is from RefSeq and is a predicted model, not a curated record. The transcript is spliced from 2 exons. NCBI's taxonomy places the organism in Eukaryota, Metazoa, Chordata, Mammalia, Dasyuromorphia, Dasyuridae.